Molecule: ribosomal RNA, 393 nt
Filed under: uncultured bacterium
Lineage: Bacteria
Description: partial 16S ribosomal RNA
Rfam family: Bacterial small subunit ribosomal RNA
Source: RNAcentral
AUACGGAGGGUGCAAGCGUUAUCCGGAUUUAUUGGGCUUAAAGGGUGCGUAGGCGGUUUGAUAAGUCAGCGGUGAAAUCUUUCAGCUUAACUGGAAGGGUGCCGUUGAUACUGUCGAGCUUGAGUUUAGUUGCUGAGGGUGGAAUGCGUGGUGUAGCGGUGAAAUGCAUAGAUAUCACACAGAAUAUCGAUUGCGAAGGCAGCUCACAAAGCUAAUAUUGACGCUGAUGCACGAAAGUGUGGAGAUCAAACAGGAUUAGAUUCCCUGGUAGUCCACACUGUAAACGAUGAUAACUCGCUGUCGGCGAUACAUAGUCGGUGGCCAAGCGAAAGCGAUAAGUUAUCCGCCUGGGGAGUACGACCGCAAGGUUGAAACUCAAAGGAAUUGACGGGG